This is a long non-coding RNA of Callithrix jacchus (white-tufted-ear marmoset), 1393 nucleotides long. RefSeq lists it as uncharacterized. NCBI's taxonomy places the organism in Eukaryota, Metazoa, Chordata, Mammalia, Primates, Cebidae. The record is from RefSeq and is a predicted model, not a curated record.
UGUUCCUCUUUGGACAUACUACAAGGUCUGACUCAGUGCUUUAUACACAGUGGUUGUUCUAUUGAUGCUUGCUGAGUGGAUGCAGGCAGUAAGAGCCCAGAAUUGGACCUCAUUCAGCACCUAAUUGUUGUGUUCAUUGUGUGCAGUCACUGACGGGGCUGGGUGCUCAGAAUUCAGUACUGAGUCAGCCGAACCCUGCCCUUAAUGAGAGCAGGCCGUGAGUGAGACAGACACAAAACAGUGCAGCGCAGCGCAAUGUUACUCGCGCAGUGACAAAGGUAGAGAUGCUACAAGGUGGAAGGCAGAAUUCACAACCAAAGGGACUUUCUCCUCCCCAGUCGCCUCCCCCAGUAGUUGAUGGGGCUGCCACACCUCAAGCCAAGCAGGGGACCUGGCAGUGUUCACCCGCCAGCUGCGUGGACGCCCAUGUCUCUUUACGGCAGAAGAGCAAGGGUGCAUCUGGCCCUCAGAACUGCAGGAUGCACCAGCAGCGAUGGAGAAGGCUCCUUGGAUGCGGCAAGGGUCCUGACUCCUCUUCGUCAUCUUCAGCUCCACCGUCUCUAGUCCCUUGACCGCCGCAGCACCAAGCCCCGGCUCGGCUGUGUCCAUGCCUCUGCCUCCAGGCGCUUGGACCCAAGAUUCCCUUCUGAAGCUGACCCGCGCUGUGUAUCUUCCCCCAAACCCCCACCUCCAUCUCAAAAAAGCCCUUCCCUGCCUUUGGCACCUCUCCCUCCCCCACGCCCACCCGCUCAGGUCCCCCUGUUAAAUAUUAGCCCAAAAGACAAACUUCCUUCCAGCCUGGCCGGCCCCGAGUCCUAGGGUCCCUGGAUCAGACACGCUCCACCUGCGGGGACCUCUCCCUCCUGCCAACUCCUGAGGAGCGGCAGCGGCUUCUGGGCUUCCCACGCGGGAUGUGACAUCCACAAGGGACACAAUACAAACGAACGAGGGGAGAGUCCGUGUGGCACCUGUGCAUGCCCACAGGUGGAUGUGCGUCCAGGCGAGUCCUGCAGGUGUGUGCACAAUGACUGCGCCCACCCCUCUGUGGGGUCUCGCCACGGUAAACUGGGUGGGCUCCAUCUCACCCAGGCUAGGGCUGAGCAGGAGGAAGCCGCGGCCUCGCCCCCAGAGGGCAGCACUGAGCUGAUCUGGCACGACUGAGUUUCCCAUCCAGGGCCUGGAGGGGAGGACUUCAGAUCUGAAAAGGAAUGCCAGGAAUCGAAUCCCAAAUCCAGGCUAGCGGUUACACUGCGGGCAGAGCGCGAGGCGUACCUCGAAGCCAAAGUGUCUAAAAUUGGGCAGUGGAUUCACAGAUGUUUGUGGUGCCUUCAUUCUUAAAUCCUACUCAUAGUUUGUAAAUAUUAUUUCGAAUCUAUUCGGUAUUACACUUUUU